RNAcentral lists this long non-coding RNA (4880 nucleotides) under Solanum tuberosum (potato). Its description in RNAcentral is "long non-coding RNA (STUB_LNC002794)". The record is from RNAcentral. Lineage: Eukaryota; Viridiplantae; Streptophyta; Magnoliopsida; Solanales; Solanaceae.
GGGGCAAUCUAUGCUACUGUCAAAAAAAAAAAAAUAUCCAUCUAAUUUGAUAUCACAAAAAAAAAUGACUAAAUUAAAUGACACUACUAGAAAGGGUGAUACUUACAGACCAAACGAUAAAAGAAAAAAGAGAAAGGGUUACCGAAUGAAAGCAUUUUCCAGCUGAAUUUAGUUGUGAUUUGUUGUUCGUUGUUCGCCGGUUCAUCGAGCUUCGAGCUCUGCCGGAGUUGGACUUUGGGUGGUUUCCCCGUUGUGUUGUUGUCGGAGCUGGCAUGGUGUUGGGUCUGGUAGUGCAUUGAGCUGACUGUUGGUGGUUUUGGGUCGGUUUGGAGGUUGGAAUUGGUGGUUUGUGGUGGCUUUUGGUUGGGGUUUAUGGGGUUUUGGUUGACUGUUGUUUGCUGGUAAAUUUGGGGGUUUCAGGUGGUGGUUUGGCGGUUGUAGUUCGCUGGCAGUGGCGAGGAGAAGGUAUAGUAAGGGUCUUGGGCGUUUGUUUGGUGGUGAAAGAGGUCGGAAAAGACAGGGGUUUUGAGUGGUUCUCCGAUGGGUUUGAGGAGAAUGAAGGUGAAGUUUUGGGUGAUUUCUCCGGUGGAGUUCUGGUGGGUGGAGUGAUGUGAGGUCAAAAAUACAUAUUUUUAAUUAUUAUUUACCUUACAUUUAUUAUUUAUAUCUGUUUUUUUUGAGCAUGUAUUCUAUGAAUUGUGCUAAAUAGUAUAUUUUAUUUGUAGGAGUAAAUUUGUGUAAAGUUAAAAAAGUUUAAAGCUAAAACGAAUUAAAGAUAAAAGGUUGAAAAAAGAAAUUAAACAAACAGCUUAAUGGAUUAAAUUGAAUAUAAUAAUAUACAAAGAAUAAAUUGAAAUUGCACAAAUUUGCAACGUGUAACUGCCGCCCCGUGACACUCAAGGAAAGCCACAGGAAAUUAAAGUGAGGCGGCUGGGCGACAGCCAUUGUUCACACGGAAUUCAAUUCCGUUUGGGUUUUGGUUUCCCAAUUUAUUUUGGACUCAAUUAUUUUAUUUAGGGUUUACUAUAUCUAUAAACAGUUCAUAAAAAUAAUUAUUGGGAAGAAAAAUUAGAGGAGAUCAAUAAGAGGACAUCAAGUAAAAAGUCGCUCUUUUCUUCUUGUUAUUUUCUUAGAGAUUAGUGGCUAAAUGCCCUUGUUCUGGAGCUGUAGCCACGAAUUAAAUAUUAAUUAUUUGAGAUUUAUAAAUUAAUUCUUGGUUGUCAUUUUAAGUUACUUUUAUAUUCUUACUUUAGUAUUUCUUGAUUGGCCAUCUAGAGAUAAAUAUAUUGUUCAAUCUUAAAAUCGAGAGAGGAGAGACUAGAUAGACCAGAGAAUAUAGAGAGCUCGAUCGACCCAUUUGAUUGAGGUGAUUUAUGUUUAGGAGUGACGCCCGGACGAUCAACUUGCUUGGUUACGAAACAUGAUGAAAUAUAAAUGCUCGCCAGUUAGUAACCCUAUAAAUCAGUAACUUGACAACUAAAAUUAGUUCUAAGCCAAGAAUAUGAUACAUGAGAUCCAAUACAUGCUGCAACCCUGAAAUUUUCCAACUAUUGUAAGUAAUUUUAUUAUUUUGUUCUUGCACUCUUUUCUUUUGACACUCUUAAAUAAAUAAUUAGACAAACAUAAUUUAGUAAAAAUAGUUAAUUGACAAGUCCUUUGGGUUCAAUAAUCUAGUUCUUUUAAGAGCCACUAUAUUACUUGCGCGACAACGUACACUUGCGUGUGCAAUUGGGAGCAACAAGUUUUUGGCGCAACUGCCGGGGACUUAGAAAUUAACUAUUUGUUUAAGUUAUAUUUUUUCUUUUUAUUUAUUUAAGUUUUGCUUUUAUAAGUGUUUUUUUUUUUAGUUUUUUUUUCUUAACAAAUAUUUCUUUUUUUUUAAAUAAUUUGAUACUCUUAUUGAUAUGGAUGAUUGGGAUAAAUCGUGGUUGGUUGAUGAAUGUCCUUUAUGUGAUAUAUGUGGUCGUCAAUAUAUUCAUUGGAAUGGUUGUCCUAAAUCUUAUUCCCUUCCCCCGAACCCCUAUUAUGAUUCUUCUGUUAUUUAUGAUGUUGGUAGAGGCGAUGAAGUGGAGAAUGCAAAACAAGAGGCGCGCAAUGUGAAUUCACUUAUGGAAUGUACGGACAUGCUGGACAAAGUUAAUUCAAAAAUUGCUGAACAAAUGUUUGAAUGUGUGGAAGAGCAAAAAUUAAUCACGAAAUGGCAAGAUGCGCUUGGCGCUAUUCAAUUAGAAAUUACUCAUGACCUAGAGAUUGCAGCCCAACAAAGAGAAAGUUAUAAAGAAGCAGAGAUAGUGAGUCAAUCUUGGCUACAAGAACAAACUCAACUUCUAAAGCUUCAUGAGUCUAUCUGUGAUGGUCUGACAUACAUGACAAGCCAACUGAUUGAAGGAGAGUUGAGCUCACACAAGACAUAUCAAUUUGGCUCAGAUAUUCAUGACUUAGAGGCUCACUUGAUCAAAAAGAUUGAGGCGUCUGAUGCCCAAUUAUUAAUUGUUGUGGAUGAUGACCAACUAGUGGAGCAAAAAGAGGAAUUCCAACCAUUCAACUAUACCUUAUUCCUUAAUAUCGAUGUUGAGAAAGAGUACAAAAGUGAGAAUGUUGUAAAAAAAUGUUGCUUUGGAGUUGAGGCAACUUGAAUCUCAUUCAAAACACUUUUCUAUAAAAUUUGAACUAAUGAAUGAGUGUAUUGAAGAAGAACAAGGCCCCUACAUUCUAAAGUUUUUUAGUCCACGUAGACAAAACGACAUUCCUCACUUAAGGGCCAAGAAAUGCAAGAUGCGACAUAUAUUACUUGGUUCCUUUAUCUUUAUACCACCACCCCUUGAGAGAAGCAGAAAAAUUGAUGCAAAGUUAGGGGUAAAAUUCAUAAGUUCAAAGUGGAAACAAAAGUGGUGAAUUUAUUUGUGUCGUGCUGCGACGUUAAAUUAGGCGCUUAUUGGGAGGCAACCCAAUUUAUAGUGUAACUUCUUCUUCUUCUUUUUUUGCGUAAUUCUUUUGUGUUGUUUUUACAGGUUUUGGAGAAUUCUGAGAAUUCAAAAUUUGGAGUUAAGGAGUACGUUUGAGCUUAAGUGUGGGGUGACGACCCUUGGUGAAAAUUGAGAGAACAUGCUACUAGCUAGGCCUAAAGGCCUCAAGGAGUUUUUCUAACCCUUGUUUUAAAUUUUAUUUGAUGCUUUGGGGACAUAGCAUAUUUUUAAGUGUGGGGUGGAGGAAUAAAUUCCUAGUUUUUACUGUUUUAUUGAGUCUUUUCUUUUAUAGGAUGAGUUCCUUGGCUUUUGUUUUCGGUUCUUUUCCUAAGGAUAGUCCCUUUGAACCGAGUGUCUUUUAUUUUUUUAGAAAUAAUUUUUUAUUUUUUAUAUUUUUGAGAGAAAAGAAAAGACCCUUUUGAGUGGUGUGAUACUUGUUAUUUAGGCCUAAUUUUUUUUUGAGUAGUAUUUUCUUAUGAAUGCUUGAUUAAUAAAAAAAAAUGCAAACUCUUUGACGCCUAAGCUCAUGGUUGUGAUUUUGUAUAUAACUUAUUUUAUUUUGUAGUUUGUUAUGAUCCCGUCUCUCUUAGAAGUGGAAUUGAUCCAUCUUGAUUGAUACUUGUGCCAUGUGUGGUGAGAAUGUGUUUAUUCCAUGUUUUGCAUCAUAGUCUAGAAUUUGCCCUGCAUGUUAUUGAAGCGAAAUAAAAAGUGUUGUUUUGUUUAGGAGAUGAUAAUAGGCUUUCUUUGAUUUGUCUUAUAAACUUUAGCUUUUUCAGAUAUAUAUCACUAGUAGCCCCGUUGAGCCUGUAGGUUUUUAUUGGUAGUCAUAUUUUUACUUUGACUUUUUUGUUGAAUCCUUAGUUUUUGCACCCUGCUUCCUUGAGCACUGUAGCAUAGACUUAUUCUAAUUAUCAAUUUUGAGAAAAAGGGAUGGUUGAGUGAAAAGGUAAUCAAUGAUAGCUACAAAGUGCUUAAAAGCCCUCUUUGAAAGAAUGUGAUGUAAAAAAAAAGAAUGAACAAAAGAAGUUACCUUGAUGAUGGCCCUGGUCCUUCCAAGGACAUUGUGCACCUUAAUGUAUGUAAAAUACGUAAGUUGAGGGUGACUAUUAUGAAGGAAAACUUAAAAUAAAAAUUUUUUUAAAAAAUGAUUGAAACAUUCUUGAGAUGAUGAGAAUUACUUGUGAAAUAAUUGGUGAAUAGAAGACUGAAAAUAAAGAAGAAAAUAAUGGGUGAUGAAGUCUUAAAGUGCAAAGUGCUUAAGGAAGUGUAAGUCACUAUUACAUAGUUUUCCUACCCGUCCCCUAGCCUACAGUACGACCCGUUUAAGUCCUAUUUGAUUAUAUUAAAGAAUGCUUAAUUAGUGGAGAUGUACAUAAUGGGCAAGCAUAUGGUUCUUUGUGCAUACAUGUGAAUUUUCUUUGUGAGUGUGAGAGUUGUUCUUGAUAUGAAGUCUUUAAUUUAUAUUCAAUCUUUUGAAUUGAGUGUGUGGACUAUUUCUUCUUGUGAGGGCACUUGUUUCAUGAUGGAUAGGUGAUUUUAUUAACUUUCUUUGAUGAGAAUAGGGGAGCAAGCUUAAAUUUGAUGAGUUCAAAGUAUUUCCUUGAAGUAGGAUGUUAGAGGUUUGUUGUUUAUUUGGAUGUCUUGCAUAAUGAUUGAUAAAUGUACUUGAUGCUUUGAAAUUGGUAUAUGGUCUAAUUGUUUGUAAUCACCAAAGUGAUGACAUUCCUAGUAUGAUGUAUUUAAGAUGAGCUUUAAUGUGUGCUCGAGGACGAGCAAAAAUUUUAAGUGUGGGGUGUGAUGUGAGGUCAAAAAUACAUAUUUUUAAUCAUUAUUUGCCUCACAUUUAUUAUUUAUAUCUGUCCUUUUUGAGCAUGUAUUCUAUGGAUUGUACUAAAUAGUGUAUUUUAUUUGUAG